RNAcentral lists this unclassified non-coding RNA (343 nucleotides) under soil metagenome. RNAcentral describes it as "partial contains 5.8S ribosomal RNA, internal transcribed spacer 2, and large subunit ribosomal RNA". The stretch from base 1 to 120 matches the Rfam family "5.8S ribosomal RNA", at positions 35 to 154 of the family's 154-position model. The record is from RNAcentral.
GAUGAAGAACGCAGCGAAAUGCGAUAAGUAAUGUGAAUUGCGGAAUUCAGUGAAUCAUCGAAUCUUUGAACGCACAUUGCGCCCGCCAGCAUUCUGGCGGGCAUGCCUGUUCGAGCGUCAUUUCAACCCUCGAGCCCCCCCGGGGGCCUCGGUGUUGGGGGACGGCACACCAGCCGCCCCCGAAAUGCAGUGGCGACCCCGCCGCAGCCUCCCCUGCGUAGUAGCACACACCUCGCACCGGAGCGCGGAGGCGGUCACGCCGUAAAACGCCCAACUUUCUUAGAGUUGACCUCGGAUCAGGUAGGAAUACCCGCUGAACUUAAGCAUAUCAAUAAGCGGAGGA